GGCAGGCCUUGCUGUGGGAAUUGGCAUCGUGUCACUUGUGCCUCUGGCACUGGGUGUGGGACAUCCGGUGUGCCAGGCUGGGCAGACCCACGCAGGGCCAUUCCGGCCUCAGGGACACCCCUCUUUCCAGGGCUCAGGGUCCAGCCAGCACCUCCAAUUCUGCCCAGAGCCCAAGGCAAUAGGCUUCACUCGUCACGCUGCCCUGCUACCUGGCGUGAGUCAGCAGCCCUCUGCAGGCUAGUUUUCCUGUUGGACCAAUGACUCCGGGUGAGAGAGAAAAACUCUAUUCUAAAGAGGAGGAAACGGAGCCUCAGAAAGGUUCAGUGAUUGAUCUCGUUUGCACAGCAGUGAGGCACUAAAGCUGGCGUCGGAACCCAAGGUUCCACACUCAGCAUGGAGCCCAAUGCAGGGCUUGAACUCAUCACCCAAGAUCGAGACC
Canis lupus familiaris (dog) is the source of this 439-nucleotide long non-coding RNA. RefSeq lists it as uncharacterized. The record is from RefSeq and is a predicted model, not a curated record. The transcript is spliced from 3 exons. NCBI's taxonomy places the organism in Eukaryota, Metazoa, Chordata, Mammalia, Carnivora, Canidae.